AUGGCGACCGGCGCACGGGUGAGUAACACGUAUCCAACCUGCCGAUAACUCGGGGAUAGCCUUUCGAAAGAAAGAUUAAUACCCGAUGGCAUAAUUAGACCGCAUGGUCUUAUUAUUAAAGAAUUUCGGUUAUCGAUGGGGAUGCGUUCCAUUAGGCAGUUGGUGAGGUAACGGCUCACCAAACCUUCGAUGGAUAGGGGUUCUGAGAGGAAGGUCCCCCACAUUGGAGCUGAGACACGGUCCAA
Molecule: ribosomal RNA, 245 nt
Filed under: uncultured bacterium
Lineage: Bacteria
Description: partial 16S ribosomal RNA
Rfam family: Bacterial small subunit ribosomal RNA
Source: RNAcentral